This 555-nucleotide long non-coding RNA is filed under the name Mus caroli (Ryukyu mouse). RNAcentral describes it as "expressed sequence AU016765 (MGP_CAROLIEiJ_G0005225.1)". Lineage: Eukaryota; Metazoa; Chordata; Mammalia; Rodentia; Muridae. The record is from RNAcentral.
AACCUUCUGGGUUCUUGUUUUCCAGGAGAAAGGGCUCACUUCAUCCGGCCAGGUGGAACUCGGUGACACAUGAUCCCACACAAGAAUACACCGACUUGAGUCUUAUUGAGGAUCCAUGCUGGAGUGGACUGGAGCUGAGGUCAGGAGCCUGUGCUGUCUCCAGAGGGUGCCUUGCUACCUUUACCCUGGUACAACGCACACAGCAUAACUUCUGUUCCUGGUUGCUGAUCUCUGGGUUUCUGAGAUUCCAGAGUGCUAUGCCUUGGUGUCUCUUUCUUUAUGCUUCGCUUGUCCAGGAGCACUGACCAGCUAAGCUCCUCGGUGCCACCAAGAAUAGCUGUUCAAACAGUCAUCCUUCAGGCACAGGAAAGCUUUAGUAAGGAGGAGAGUGCACAUCUAUCCAUGGCUGGUGAAUCUCCAAAUGAUUUCAAUUUAUGAUGCUAUUUUAAUACAGAAAAAUAAACGAAAACACGAGCACACUUGACAUUUGAAAUUAUGCUGAUUGGCUGGCAUAUUUUAAAACACAUCAAAUAAAGACAGGCAUCAAUGUUUGAC